GGCACGCAGGGCUUGGCCUUCCACAUGCACAAUGAUCCUCGUCUGUCUGUGCAAUAGAUCACAAAGCCCAUCAACUGCCUACCUCCAAAAAGCCAGCCCCUGGCACACGCAGUGGUGGAACGAACAGCUCCAGAUACCACAGCCUCCCAGGCUAAUCCUUCCCUCUCCCUUCCCUGCUCUGCAUACACCUGACUGCAAUAACAGCAGAGAUACCAUCUGGGGUUAGCUCGUUACAUGUUUAUUGCCCCUUUGUUUACUUCUUCAUAAAUAUAAACUGUUGUUACCUGCACAUACCUGUGCAUCCAGCCCAGUUCUGGUGAGCUUUAAAAGCCCCAAAUUGAAAAUAGCCUAAAGAUGUGAAGAAUCACAGCACCGCAGUCCAAAAGGCAGCCAGCUAGCUGAGGUAUUUAGGGAGAACCAUUGCAACAUACAGCAUGGCCCAGUGGCAGAGGCAGCGGUGAAUGAAGGACCUACCUGACGGCAAGGCUGAAAAGCUGUGUUACGAAGGAAAGAGGCACAAAAGGCUGGGAGGACAGAGCAGGGGAAGGGAAAGGUGCGGCCAAGGAGAAGCUCUGUGGCUGGGGCGGCCGUGGGCAGAGCAGCCCGGUCCCUGUUCCCAUCAGAUAGCCCAGCCAGCGGGCUGGUGACUCACUGGGAUUUGCUGGGAGGGAGCCGAACGCUGCACGCUGCCAGGAGAGGAGCAGAGCUAACCCGGGGCACUGCCAGCCCCUAGGCAACCCCUCCUGGCAGCCCCACUGGCCCUUGGGAGCAAAGACAUCUGCAAAGGAAAAGAAAGUGAGGAGGGAAUGCCGGUAUUUGCCCAGUUUUACCUUUAUACAAUAAAAUAAAUUUAAGAAAUCCCAGCUUGAAAUCACAAGGCGUAGCCUGGCAAACUUAACAGGAAAGGGCAAGGAGCAAAUUAUUUAAGGCAGUGAUGGCAGUGUCUCCCACACACCCUUACACUCCCUUAUGGAUCUGGGUGUUAUCGGGCCAAAGAAUUUAAAUUAAACCUCAAGUGCCCACCUCCAACCCUGACCAUUGAGUUUUUCUUCAAAACAGGGAGAGCAGGUCGGAAGGUUUGCUGGCUGGAAGCCUCCGAACACUGGAAGAGCUCAGACAUUUAUGAGUGCACUCGAGUGCGCUAAUGAACUUUGACAGUGGUGGUGGAAGCAGGGGCAAGCACCGCUGUAGCUUUCACGCUGCUCCUUCUGGAAAACGCGCAGAGAAAGUACGAAGGAAACUGGGGGGAGUUCACAGCCAUUUCUCGGGAUUAUUUCACAACUAUUCGAUGUAUCUACUGAUUACAGCAGGGUUUGGCUUCAAUAAGCUAGAGAGUUUUGAAGACUAUAUUGACUUCUACAAUCAGUUUGAGGAGAAACAAACAAAAAAAAAUAGGGAAAGGACUUAACUUUUUUAUUAUAUUUUAUAAGGUUUGGCAGAAAGGUAAAGUUACUCAGUAAUCUUGUCCUGACCGUAGGCAAAACCACAAUGAUCCUAUUCCCAGUUUAAUCAACAGUUCACACAUUUUUAUAAAGGAUUUAGAUUAAUCAAUCCGUAAACACUCAGACCUAAUUUCUGGACAGUCUUUGCAUUUUAAACCUGCCUCUGCCAUAAUAAUUGAAUUUACUCUCUCCCUGUUCAACCAGAGGAGAGAAUACCCCAAAUUUCCUUUAGAAGAUCCAAAAUGGAAAAAAUACUUCCCCCACAGGCAAAGGGCUUUACUGCCAUGCUGAGGUCUAUCUACAUUCCAUUAAUUUUUGUUUUUUCACCUUAAUCCCAUGAUCACUUUUAAACGGUACUUGUUUCCCAAAAAUGCUCUGAUUCUCACUCAAUUCUCUGUAGUUUCCUGAAUUCCGUAGCCCAGAUUCACUGCUGGCGUAACGGUACAACAACACUGACCUCAGAAAAUGCCUCCUGGAAAGAUGCUCAGCUAAGCAUCCCGCAUGCCACAGCAGUCCCUAGCCCAACCCUCAGUGGACCCCUGGCUCGCUACAGUGUGCCCUGGAAGCAUCGUGUUCGUCACGCAGCCAAGGAGGAGAUGUAAAGAUCAGUUUUAGAUCAGGGCCUCACGUGAAAUAAUCUAGGUCAAUACAGGAGAUGUAAGAAGACAGUCUGACACACGAAGAAGAUGGGGUGCUCUCCUCCCAUUUCCAGGGGAUGGACUGAUCACAAUGCAUGGACAAUUGGCUCCAAAUAGCCAAGUGACAUUUAAACAAGCAUAAUGGCUGCAGGUAUGCUGUACAAACUGGUCUCCCUCUAACUGGCAGUCCUUACGUUAUUAGCACACACAAUAAUUUAAAAAGCAUUGUUUCGUGGCAUGAUUCCAGUGCCUGCUUCUCCCCACUGCCUUGCUUAGUGCCUGCAUUAACCUCAUUCUAUAAGUCCCAGGACCUCUGACUCUUACAGCUGAAUUCAUAAAAAAUGUAAGCCCUCACUAUGUGGGAUUUUUGCCUGCUUCUUUCCAAGUGCAUGUUUUUCUGACUCAUUGAACCUGGCUUCCCCAGCUUGUGCUACAGCAGGUUGCAUUAGCUACAAUAGGCACCCAUGGAAAUGGAUUGAUUAAGAAAAAAACAAGAGGGAAAAAAAAAAAAGAUAGCAAAGGCACAUGUUAUGCUUUAGCCUACCAGAUUCCUGUACAUGCUACAAAAAUGCUUGGAAAAACCCUGUCCAAAAGAAAGCAAACAGCAGAAAAACGUAUGUUGCCAACAGUUGCUCAGCUGUUUACUGCUCAGCAGAAAGGAGGACCAACAUGCAGCACAGAGGAGUCCAGUGGGGUGCACACGAGAUGCACCAGCAUGGCUUCUUUGACUCAAAUCUCCCUCUGAACAUAAAGAGUCUCAUCUGAGAACAGAACUCUUCUUUUCGUCUAUUUUUAUGAAGCACUCAGAAAAGGAAAAAAGGACCCAGGUCGUCUAAAUGAGGCAGCUCUGGAGGGACAGGAAUAACUUCUUUGCAGAACCAUUCUCUGUCCUAAACCUGAACCACACCAGAAAUGCAUGAUCCAGUCCCUCUAUAAAAAUAAAUAAAUAAAUAAAUAAAUAACAUAAAAUAUAGCCAUUUCACUGCAAAAUGUGUAAUGGCCCACUCUUGCUUCUACCUUUCCUACUCUGGCUUGUGAACUGAAGAGCAGUCCUCAUCACAGCUACCUACACCAUACACUACUGCUUGCCCUACUUUCAUUGACACAGAGCAUUAUAUUUGUUCACAAGAGUUCUGUCUCUGUGCACACAAACAGAACAGCCCAGUUCACUUCCUGGCACAGACAAAUACACAAAAACAUCCACAUGUAUCUGACAGAAAGAGAGGAGAAGUGAUGACAAAAAUCUACUGCAGAAUGGGCAGAAGAAGACUCCAUCCUGAAUAUGCCAGGUGAGGCUGUACAAGUGAACUGUUUAGCAUAUGCUAUGUACAAGUAAAUGGCAAUUUACUGAGGAAAAGAAAGAAUAAUUGCAAACAUUUAUGCCUCAUACAUGUGUAUGAAACAAAAAAUCUCUUAGAAAGCUUGCCCAACCAAAAGGCAAGACACCUGACAAACACUACCCCUAAUUUUGUCGCUUUGUAGGUGAUUGCUUCCUUCCUUCUCUUCCUGCAUUUGAUUUCUUAUCUUCUUCAGAAGUGCUCACCAAGAGACACACAGACAACUCCCUGAAAAGGGUGGAAAAGAGGUGGCAGCAGGGAGAGGCUGGUCCUAUCCAGCAAACCACCCACCAAACACAAAAGCGAUUCCUCGCCAUUUGCUGAGUACAAAGAUGCAUCGUACCACAACUUCAAAGCCAGGUCUGUUCUUCCUUCAGACAGCUGAGGUGUUUCUGGAUGUAUUGGCUGUUGAUAGCCAUGGCAGUGCCUGAGCCUUGCCUACUGUGCCCCAUUAGAGUAGUCUUUAUUUAUGCUGGUGUUUUCUGGAAAGUACUGCACAAGUGCCAAGAAAAGAGAAGACUCUGAUUUGUUUGGGUCUUCUGUCAGAGUAGCAGGCAACCUGCCAUCAGCGGUGCCUCUUUGUAACCAAACUACUCUCUCCCUUGUAAAGUACUGAU
Anas platyrhynchos (mallard) is the source of this 4034-nucleotide non-coding RNA. Lineage: Eukaryota; Metazoa; Chordata; Aves; Anseriformes; Anatidae. The record is from RefSeq and is a predicted model, not a curated record.